RNAcentral lists this transfer RNA (63 nucleotides) under Listeria monocytogenes. Its description in RNAcentral is "tRNA-Phe". It matches the Rfam family "tRNA", at positions 6 to 65 of the family's 71-position model. From Rfam's summary of the family: Transfer RNA (tRNA) molecules are approximately 80 nucleotides in length. Their secondary structure includes four short double-helical elements and three loops (D, anti-codon, and T loops). Lineage: Bacteria; Bacillati; Bacillota; Bacilli; Caryophanales; Listeriaceae. The record is from RNAcentral.
GGUAGCUCAGUUGGUAGAGCACUUGAUUGAAGCUCAAGGUGUCGGCAGUUCGAUUCUGUCCCA